This is a long non-coding RNA of Suricata suricatta (meerkat), 1117 nucleotides long. RefSeq lists it as uncharacterized. Lineage: Eukaryota; Metazoa; Chordata; Mammalia; Carnivora; Herpestidae. The record is from RefSeq and is a predicted model, not a curated record. The transcript has 3 exons.
UGCACAGUCACACGGGUCACAUCCGGCCCUAACAGUGGCUACAUAAGCUGCAGCCUCGGUGGAGGGAACGAGCUUCUACAUGAUGAGGGAGUGCGGGGUUCUCAGACCCCACCCUGGACCCACUGACUCAACCUGCAUCUGAGGAAGAGCCCCGGUGAUAUCCAUGUUCAUUACUAUUUGAGACAAGCCAUGAUUUUUCUGCUUCUCUUGGUGACGGAUAGUCCUGUAAUGCCUGUAGGUCACCAAGCACCGUUUGAAUUUAUAAACUAGAACGCCCAGACCUCAACCUCAAUGCAAAGCCCCUGGAAUCCAGAUUCACCUUCCACUUUUUGGUGCCUUGGCCAAGCCUUCCUGGUGGCCUGACUCCGGGAGCCAAGACAGCCCCGCGCCAGCUUGUACCCAAGCCCCAGCUCUUCGGCCCGGUGCACAGCAAAGACGAUUGUGGACAUCCGACGGACAGCAAGGACAAGGGGUAUUCCAGAGAGAGGGCAAGCCUCAAGUCUGCCUCCCCUGGAGAGCCAGGGAUAUUUAAAGGCAAAUGAAAAGCCCGGCUGUGGCCCUUAGGAGUAGCUGGGAUCAGCCCCAUUAACCCUUUGGUGGCCGGUUUGCUCCAGGAUAUUUUGUGGCACAGGCUCAUCCCCGGACAGGCUUUUCUAUCCUGCAGCCACAGCUCACCUUAACCUUGUCAGGUGUGAGCCAGGCUCGGUUCCCGUGUCUCCCCACUGCCCGGAACACGGUUCAGACCUCCUCCCUGGGUGACUCCAGGGGCACCUUCCUCGUUAAGCUUGAGGGAGAUGUAGGGGCUUCCCAUGCCUCCUCACUACAAAGAAGAAUUGGGAUGGGGUCUCACCUCCCGGCAAAGGAGUCUCUGCCCAGACCCUCUCUCUUCUCGGUGCUCUGACCUCUUUGUGUCUCCUCCAUGCAACUUCAGAGUCCAAAAGUCAGGGAACAGAUCCUCAACCAUGUCCUCUGUAAAUUCUGCAUGUGACGAUCUGGCUUCAGAAUGUCACGUCUAUUGUGUCACGGAAGAUCACUUUUGCCACCCUGUCAUGAGGAUGAUUGCUUAAUUGUAAAAAAUAAAAAUAAAAUCCUGCCUUCCUGCCUUGUCUUCCCCGGA